RNAcentral lists this ribosomal RNA (453 nucleotides) under uncultured bacterium. RNAcentral's name for it is "bacterial SSU rRNA". It matches the Rfam family "Bacterial small subunit ribosomal RNA", at positions 28 to 494 of the family's 1533-position model. The record is from RNAcentral.
GACGAACGCUGGCGGCGUGCUUAACACAUGCAAGUCGAACGGUGACGGAGAGCUUGCUCUCCUGAUCAGUGGCGAACGGGUGAGUAACACGUGGGCAACCUGCCCCAGACUUCGGGAUAACGCUUCGAAAGAGGUGCUAAUACCGGAUACGAGCUCCUUGGGCAUCCUUGGAGUUGGAAAGUUUUUCGGUCUGGGAUGGGCCCGCGGCCUAUCAGCUAGUUGGUGAGGUAACGGCUCACCAAGGCGACGACGGGUAGCUGGCCUGAGAGGGCGACCGGCCACACUGGGACUGAGACACGGCCCAGACUCCUACGGGAGGCAGCAGUGGGGAAUAUUGCGCAAUGGGCGAAAGCCUGACGCAGCAACGCCGCGUGAGGGAUGACGGCCUCGGUUGGUAACCGUACUUCUAGUCAGGAAGAAGACGAAGUAGACGGUACCGUCGCAGAAGAAGAC